This is a long non-coding RNA of Bolinopsis microptera, 444 nucleotides long. RefSeq lists it as uncharacterized. Lineage: Eukaryota; Metazoa; Ctenophora; Tentaculata; Lobata; Bolinopsidae. The record is from RefSeq and is a predicted model, not a curated record. The transcript is spliced from 3 exons.
UAUGAUAGAAGAUUUGCAAGUGUUAAGUAAACAGAUAUACAGCCAGAGAUGUUCGGCACAUGCUUCCGCUUUCUUACAAACCCAACUUGUAGAAGAGGAAAUGAAAGAGAUUUCAUCUGAUAAAAACAAGAUGCUGGCCGACAGUUUGGAAGAAUUUAAAAUAUUAAAGAACGAGAGCGAUUUACCCACGAUAGCCACGCUACCUCCAGAUUUCCAGCCUAUACCUUGCAAACCCACUUUCUUUGAUAUCUCGCUCAAUCAUAUAGAAUUCCCGGAUCUCGAAGAGAGGGUCGAAAAGGAAUCUUCGGGUAUUUUAGGCUUCACCAAAUGGAUCUGGGGGAAAUAGAGGAUUGGAAAUAUAUUUGGGACACUUAAUUCGUUUUAUCUUGAGCUAUAAUAUUGUAUAUGAUUAAAUGGUUGACCAAUUUUACUAAUCUUGACAGG